CCGGUAUCUCAUCCGGUCCCGUCGCCCUACCCCUUCGCAUCCUGCGGACUGCCUGUCUAACCUCGUCUACCUUAAAACGUCUACAAUAGCUAAAAUCCCGACACUCCCCUGAGUGCUCCAGUUCCCCUAACACAAUAGCUCUGUCCCCCUCGUCAUUCAAGAGCCUAUGAAAGUACGACUGCCAUCUCUUCUUUAUGUGGCCGUCCUCCACCAACACUCUACCGUCCUCCCCCUUAAUGCACCUCACCUGAUCGAGGUCACGACCCUUCCUCUCCCUAGCCUUUGCGAGUCGGAACAACUUUUUCUCCCCUCCUUUCCUCUGUAACCCUGCAUACAAGCUCUCAAAAGCGGCCGUCUUAGCUGCA
Molecule: long non-coding RNA, 365 nt
Filed under: Capsicum annuum
Lineage: Eukaryota; Viridiplantae; Streptophyta; Magnoliopsida; Solanales; Solanaceae
Description: long non-coding RNA (CANN_LNC005905)
Source: RNAcentral